This 638-nucleotide ribosomal RNA is filed under the name uncultured bacterium. RNAcentral's name for it is "bacterial SSU rRNA". It matches the Rfam family "Bacterial small subunit ribosomal RNA", at positions 788 to 1426 of the family's 1533-position model. The record is from RNAcentral.
UGGUAGUNCACGCCGUAAACGAUGAGUGCUAGGUGUUAGGCCCUUUCCGGGGCUUAGUGCCGCAGCUAACGCAUUAAGCACUCCGCCUGGGGAGUACGACCGCAAGGUUGAAACUCAAAGGAAUUGACGGGGGCCCGCACAAGCGGUGGAGCAUGUGGUUUAAUUCGAAGCAACGCGAAGAACCUUACCAGGUCUUGACAUCCCGAUGCCCGCUCUAGAGAUAGAGUUUUACUUCGGUACAUCGGUGACAGGUGGUGCAUGGUUGUCGUCAGCUCGUGUCGUGAGAUGUUGGGUUAAGUCCCGCAACGAGCGCAACCCUUAUUGUUAGUUGCCAUCAUUCAGUUGGGCACUCUAGCGAGACUGCCGGUAAUAAACCGGAGGAAGGUGGGGAUGACGUCAAAUCAUCAUGCCCCUUAUGACCUGGGCUACACACGUGCUACAAUGGCUGGUACAACGAGUCGCAAGUCGGUGACGGCAAGCUAAUCUCUUAAAGCCAGUCUCAGUUCGGAUUGUAGGCUGCAACUCGCCUACAUGAAGUCGGAAUCGCUAGUAAUCGCGGAUCAGCACGCCGCGGUGAAUACGUUCCCGGGCCUUGUACACACCGCCCGUCACACCACGAGAGUUUGUAACACCNGAAG